UACAGAGGGUGCGAGCGUUGUCCGGAAUUACUGGGCGUAAAGGGCGCGUAGGCGGCAUGGCAAGUCGGGAGUGAAAGCCCGGGGCUCAACCCCGGAACGGCUUUCGAAACUGCCAAGCUAGAGUACGGAAGGGGCAACUGGAAUUCCCAGUGUAGCGGUGAAAUGCGUAGAUAUUGGGAAGAACACCGGAGGCGAAGGCGGGUUGCUGGGCCGAUACUGACGCUGAGGCGCGAAAGCCAGGGGAGCAAACGGG
This 253-nucleotide ribosomal RNA is filed under the name uncultured bacterium. RNAcentral's name for it is "partial 16S ribosomal RNA". It matches the Rfam family "Bacterial small subunit ribosomal RNA", at positions 524 to 776 of the family's 1533-position model. The record is from RNAcentral.